ACCCYGACUGAACUUAAGCAUAUCAAUAAGCGGAGAAAAAGAAACUAACCAGAUUCCCCUAGUAACUGC
This 69-nucleotide ribosomal RNA is filed under the name Fomitiporia bambusarum. RNAcentral describes it as "partial 28S ribosomal RNA". Lineage: Eukaryota; Fungi; Basidiomycota; Agaricomycetes; Hymenochaetales; Hymenochaetaceae. The record is from RNAcentral.